CUGCAUGGCUGUCGUCAGCUCGUGUCGUGAGAUGUUCGGUUAAGUCCGCUAACGAGCGCAACCCUCGCUGUGUGUUACAAGUGUCACACGGAACUGCCGGUCAUAAACCGGAGGAAGGUGGGGAUGACGUCAAGUCAGCAUGGCCUUUAUAUCCUGGGCUACACACACGCUACAAUGGGAAGGGACAAUAGGUUGCGAAGCCGCGAGGCGGAGCCAAUCCAGCAAAACUUCCCUCAGUUCAGAUUGCAGGCUGCAACUCGCCUGCAUGAAGUUGGAGUUGCUAGUAAACGCAGGUCAGCCAUACUGCGUUGAAUACGUUCCCGGGGCUU
RNAcentral lists this ribosomal RNA (329 nucleotides) under uncultured Anaerolineaceae bacterium. Its description in RNAcentral is "bacterial SSU rRNA". It matches the Rfam family "Bacterial small subunit ribosomal RNA", at positions 1041 to 1382 of the family's 1533-position model. The record is from RNAcentral. Lineage: Bacteria; Bacillati; Chloroflexota; Anaerolineae; Anaerolineales; Anaerolineaceae.